CAAUGAUCCGUCCGCU
This 16-nucleotide small RNA is filed under the name Arabidopsis thaliana (thale cress). RNAcentral's name for it is "ATSL107760". Lineage: Eukaryota; Viridiplantae; Streptophyta; Magnoliopsida; Brassicales; Brassicaceae. The record is from RNAcentral.